CCUACGGGGGGCAGCAGUGGGGAAUAUUGGACAAUGGGCGCAAGCCUGAUCCAGCCAUGCCGCGUGUGUGAUGAAGGCCUUAGGGUUGUAAAGCACUUUCACUGGGGAAGAUAAUGACGGUACCCAGAGAAGAAGCCCCGGCUAACUUCGUGCCAGCAGCCGCGGUAAUACGAAGGGGGCUAGCGUUGUUCGGAAUCACUGGGCGUAAAGCGCACGUAGGCGGACACUUAAGUCAGAGGUGAAAUCCCAAGGCUCAACCUUGGAACUGCCUUUGAUACUGGGUGUCUUGAGGUCGGAAGAGGUAAGUGGAACUGCGAGUGUAGAGGUGAAAUUCGUAGAUAUUCGCAAGAACACCAGUGGCGAAGGCGGCUUACUGGUCCGAUACUGACGCUGAGGUGCG
This 400-nucleotide ribosomal RNA is filed under the name uncultured bacterium. RNAcentral's name for it is "bacterial SSU rRNA". It matches the Rfam family "Bacterial small subunit ribosomal RNA", at positions 338 to 755 of the family's 1533-position model. The record is from RNAcentral.